CCCCCCCAAUGGAUUGUGUUGACGCGCGAGGCGCCCGCUACGGCUCAGGCGGGGCUCCUACACCGCGAGGGGCGACGGCAUGAGGCCCGACAAGGGGCAUCCGGUGGGGCGACAGCAUGAGUCAAGAAAGGACAGCUGCGUGGUGCCGUGGCGAUGGGGGGUCCAAUGAGGGGCGACCCUUGCUCAACAACGAUGAGCUUGACGGUCCCGUCCGCAAUGUCCACUUCCACGCCAUCCAGUUUCUCUUUGUCAUGUCCGGAGGUGGAAACUAGCUACCUCUCUCAACCCCCCCCCCCCCCGGCCCCUGCCCUCGAUGGGAUCCAAGCUCGUUGCCGUCAGGAUCGAGCUCCUCCGCAUGGGAUAGAGCUCGUGGACCCCGGGAUCAAGCUCCUCCACGCAAGAUCGUCUCCCUAUCGUUGGGGUCGGGCUCCUUCACGCGGGAUGGAGCUCCUCGUCAUCGGGGUUGGGCUCCUCCGCGCCUUAUCGAGCUCAUCGGCGUAGGGUUGAGCUCUUCGUCGUCAUGGCCAUGUAGCUCCCCGUGUGGUCGAGGCAGGGAUGACUUGGAAGAGCAGGACGGUGGCAGUUUGGGCUCCAUGGCGCUGAACUGAGUUUAGAUAAUGGCAAGGUCGAAUAAGAAAAAGGAUAUUGCAUCAACACCACGUAGCAAUUGUCCUGGCAGGUGGAAGAAUAGGGUGUAGUUUAAUUGUUCCAUUGAAUGGAAACAUAAUUCAAUAUCUGGUGGUACAAGCAUUGCAUCUAAAUCAAUUUUAGCUGCUUCUAAGAGUACAUGUGAAGUGAUGCAAUCUCUGUUUUAUGAAAUCAAAAGGCGUUAUCUGUAGCUAAAGAAACUUUAAGAACAUUGGCUAGUACUUCAGUCUAUGUUUGAUCCUUGUAACUAUGUAGCAAAUCAGAGUAAUUUUGUGUAGCAAUCUAUAAUUACUAUUUUUAUAAGCAAUCAAUAGAUGUCUUUACGGCAGAUUAGUUCGCCAUA
Phragmites australis (common reed) is the source of this 991-nucleotide long non-coding RNA. RefSeq lists it as uncharacterized. The record is from RefSeq and is a predicted model, not a curated record. NCBI's taxonomy places the organism in Eukaryota, Viridiplantae, Streptophyta, Magnoliopsida, Poales, Poaceae. The transcript is spliced from 3 exons.